AUGAACGUUGGCGGCGUGGAUUAGGCAUGCAAGUCGAGCGAGAAGCCUCCUUCGGGAGGUGGACAGCGGCAAACGGGGUAGUAAGGCAUCGGUAACGCACCCCCAGGACCGGGAUAGCCGAGGGAAACUUCGGGUAAUACCGGAUAAUAUCUCCGGAUCAAAUGGUGAGAUUCCGCCUGGGGACCGGCUGAUGUGAUACCAGCUAGUUGGUAAGGUAAUGGCUUACCAAGGCUUAGACGUCUAGGGGGUGUGAGAGCAUGGCCCCCACCACUGGGACUGAGACACUGCCCAGACACCUACGGGUGGCUGCAGUCGAGAAUCUGCGGCAAUGGGCGAAAGCCUGACCGAGCGACGCCGCGUGCGGGAUGACGGCCCUUGGGUUGUAAACCGCUGUCAGAGGGGAUGAAAUUCCAGAGAGCUAUCUUUCUGGAUUGACAAAGCCUCAGAGGAAGCCCGGGCUAAGUACGU
RNAcentral lists this ribosomal RNA (468 nucleotides) under uncultured bacterium. RNAcentral's name for it is "bacterial SSU rRNA". It matches the Rfam family "Bacterial small subunit ribosomal RNA", at positions 29 to 506 of the family's 1533-position model. The record is from RNAcentral.